AUCACUGAUGGAUGAGAGCCACAGGAAAAGGCCAAACGAUCUGUCCAGUGAAGAUGCUGUGUGAGGCUGCUUUGAGAUGCUAACAGAGCUGCUUUACAAACCCAGCAACCAGCAGUGGGAAUCUGUGACCUGAAAGCUGAUCACAGGCACGGGAUGAAAUUUCUCUGGCAUUGUGGACCUUCUUUUAAUACCCUGCUGGAGAGGGCUCAGGGAAUUCAUCCCUCACCCAGGCGCUGAGCGUCCCUUUGCUCUCCGCUGUGCCCCCCUGAGGUGGUGCCGCCCUCCAGCCACAUUUCCUUCACAAUUUGUCAGUGUCACCAUUCACGGCUGGCAGGGCCUGCACAGUGCUCCAGGUUAUGCUUUUCCCUCUCUGGUAGCCUCAGCCUUGCUUUUCCAGAGGGCUGGGCUCUCCAGAGUCUGGAUUCUGCAUCACGGCACACGUUUCUUCCAAAGAGGCUGUUGGUCCUACGGCUGGAAUUGCAGAGCUGUCUGUCAGGGGUGUGGAGUGAAUGUUAAAUUGCCAGCAGCAAAUUUCUGCCCCAAAAUAAACCUCAGAUGGUCAAAAUGCAUCUAGAUUUCUGAUGCCAUUAAACAGCUUCAUGACAAUCAAAACGCACUGGUCUGUCUAAACCCUCUUCUGCUCUCUAGAAACCGAAGUGAAAAUUGUAGGCAUUAAAUCUGCAUUUUCAAUUGCUGUUCUUCUUAACUGUACCUUUAAU
This is a long non-coding RNA of Neopelma chrysocephalum (saffron-crested tyrant-manakin), 719 nucleotides long. RefSeq lists it as uncharacterized. The record is from RefSeq and is a predicted model, not a curated record. The transcript is spliced from 3 exons. NCBI's taxonomy places the organism in Eukaryota, Metazoa, Chordata, Aves, Passeriformes, Pipridae.